CAGCAGCCGCGGUAAUACGGAGGAUGCGAGCGUUAUCCGGAUUUAUUGGGUUUAAAGGGUGCGUAGGCGGCCUGUUAAGUCAGCGGUGAAAUCUAGGAGCUUAACUCCUAAAUUGCCAUUGAUACUGGCGGGCUUGAGUGUAGAUGAGGUAGGCGGAAUGCGUGGUGUAGCGGUGGAAUGCAUAGAUAUCACGCAGAACUCCGAUUGCGAAGGCAGCUUACUAAGGUACAACUGACGCUGAAGCACGAAAGCGUGGGUAUCAAACAGGAUUAGAUACCCUGGUAGUCCACGCAGUAAACGAUGAUAACUGGGCGUAUGCGAUAUACAGUAUGCUCCUAAGCGAAAGCGUUAAGUUAUCCACCUGGGGAGUACGCCGGCAACGGUGAAACUCAAAGGAAUUGACGGGGGCCCGCACAAGCGGAGGGACAUGUGGUUUAAUUCGAUGAUACGCGAGGAACCUUACCCGGGAUUGAAAUGUAGAUGACCGCUCCUGAAAGGGAGUUUUCCUUCGGGACAUCUAUGUAGGUGCUGCAUGGUUGUCGUCAGCUCGUGCCGUGAGGUGUCGGCUUAAGUGCCAUAACGAGCGCAACCCCUGUCUACGGUUGCCAUCAGGUGAUGCUGGGAACUCCGUAGAGACUGCCGUCGUAAGGCGUGAGGAAGGUGGGGAUGACGUCAAAUCAGCACGGCCCCUACAUCCCGGGCGACACACGUGUUACAAUGGUAAGGACAAAGGGCAGCUACCUGGCGACAGGAUGCGAAUCUCUAAACCUUAUCACAGUUCGGAUCGGAGUCUGCAACUCGACUCCGUGAAGCUGGAUUCGCUAGUAAUCGCGCAUCAGCCAUGGCGCGGUGAAUACGUUCCCGGGCCUUGUACACCACCGCCCGUCAAGCCAUGGGAGUCUGGAGUACCUAAAGUCCGUAACGCCAAGGGUCGGCCUAGGGUAAUACAGGUGACUGGGGCUAAGUCGUAACAAGGUAGCCGU
Molecule: ribosomal RNA, 983 nt
Filed under: uncultured Porphyromonas sp.
Lineage: Bacteria; Pseudomonadati; Bacteroidota; Bacteroidia; Bacteroidales; Porphyromonadaceae
Description: bacterial SSU rRNA
Rfam family: Bacterial small subunit ribosomal RNA
Source: RNAcentral